Molecule: long non-coding RNA, 1198 nt
Organism: Pezoporus occidentalis (night parrot)
Lineage: Eukaryota; Metazoa; Chordata; Aves; Psittaciformes; Psittacidae
Exons: 2
Source: RefSeq, a predicted model, not a curated record
UUGCUUGCUUCUUGAAAUGCUUGGUUGAACAGCAGUGCAGAGCUGUAAAAAUUGGUUUAUUUUAAUGCGCUUUAUGGGUCUGAUUGUUAACAGAAAAGGCCCGAGGGCUGUGUGAGUCUGUGCUUGUGCACUUCUGCACUAAACUUUUAUGUGUGUGCUCUCCCACACUGUGUAAAUGGUAUAUGUGACCACAUGAACCACUUGUGCCCUAAGCAAGCUUCUGUUCAGGCACAAUAGCAGCUCCAGUGUCAGUGUGGUGGCCACUGGCAUCCAGAAGGAUCUCCACCUUGUGAAACCCAGACACUAGGGAUCUAGAAGCAAUGGAGAGAUUGUACACAUGCAGAAUAUAUGUAUCCUUGCCACAGCUCCAGUUACUCAGGAUGUCCCUAUAAACCUACUUCGGAUAUCUCAGCUGCCUAACAGGCUUGCUGCACCCAUGAGACACGGGUUUUGCCUUCCAGUGUCAACACACCAUUAAACAUGCCCACAAGCUCAAGUGCUUCAAGCACGCAAACUGGGAGAAAGUCAACAAACAAUAAGGACCAAGCUUCUGCUCUACAAAGUGUGAGCCAGCUCUGCCUUUGAUGCUAUGCACAAAGUUUCCUUGUUCUUGUUUUCCUAAUUCCUGCCCAUCUGAUCCCAACAUAAGGCCAGUUUCAGCCAUUGACAAAAUAUUUCCGUGUCUAUUCUAUCUAUGUCACAGCUUUCUAGAACCACAGAUAGCUUCAACCUAGCAAACGACAACUGAGAGGCAGUGACAUGCCCUCUGCGUUUGAAAAUAAAACACAAGAGCAAUCAGCUUCUCUCACCCACAGAUAUCUAUCACUUCAUGCUGGAUGGCUGCUGUGUUGUUUUAUUCUGCUUUUGAUGAUCCCCUCUUCGCUCGUGAUCUGGCCAAGACGUAGAAAUACUGGGAGCAUCUGAAAGAGAUUACCACUCUGCUGCUCUAAAAGAGGCUUCAGAUAGCUGAUAGGGCAGAGGAAAGGGAUGGAAUACCCUUAGAAACCACCAUGAUCUCAUUGAACUUAAUCAUGUAUUUCAUGUCCCUCCCAACAACAGGCAAAACACAGUUGUAGUGGUCUGGGGAUCACACAGAGGAAGAGAAUGUUAAUUCCAUUAGAGUCAAUUGGGGGAGAAAAAUAAUCUUCCUGCAAAAUUAACAAAGAAAAUGAAAAGAAAUAAAUCUUAGUGCAGUGUU